GAUGAACGCUGGCGGCGUGCCUAAUACAUGCAAGUCGAGCGAACGGACGAGAAGCUUGCUUCUCUGAUGUUAGCGGCGGACGGGUGAGUAACGCGUGGAUAACCUACCUAUAAGACUGGGAUAACUUCGGGAAACCGGAGCUAAUACCGGAUAAUAUUUUGAACCGCAUGGUUCAAAAGUGAAAGACGGUCUUGCUGUCACUUAUAGAUGGAUCCGCGCUGCAUUAGCUAGUUGGUAAGGUAACGGCUUACCAAGGCAACGAUGCAUAGCCGACCUGAGAGGGUGAUCGGCCACACUGGAACUGAGACACGGUCCAGACUCCUACGGGAGGCAGCAGUAGGGAAUCUUCCGCAAUGGGCGAAAGCCUGACGGAGCAACGCCGCGUGAGUGAUGAAGGUCUUCGGAUCGUAAAACUCUGUUAUUAAGGAAGAACAUAUGUGUAAGUAACUGUGCACAUCUUGACGGUACCUAAUCAGAAAGCCACGGCUAACUACGUG
This 497-nucleotide ribosomal RNA is filed under the name uncultured bacterium. RNAcentral describes it as "partial 16S ribosomal RNA". It matches the Rfam family "Bacterial small subunit ribosomal RNA", at positions 28 to 507 of the family's 1533-position model. The record is from RNAcentral.